UUGCUUUAUUUUUAUUUGGGACAGUUUGGGAUAUUUUUUUUGUUCCUUGGUGUGGUGGUUUGGGAUUUGGGGUGGUUGUAUUAUGAUGGUUUUCGGAUUUUUGCUUCUGAUUUUUGCCUUUUGCAACUUUGUGAUGUUACGUAAAUCGUAGGAUCCCGCAUCGGUUGGAUUUUGUUUUGUUUUACCCCUAUGAAAUGUCUCAAACGAUUUAAGGAAGACGUGUUAUUUUAAUACUGAUAGUGUUGAAAGAAGCUUGAGUUUUUUGUCAUAUGUAACAAUUCCGACCCCCCCUUUUUUCAGGGGGGCGGGGAAGGGUGUUCAAUUUUCCUUUUUCCCUUGGACUUUUACUGAGAGGACGCUCUCCUGCGCUAGAAAGACGUGUUCAAAGGAUUUGUUUUGGUUUGUUUCUUUCCAGGACAGCAAGUGGUGGGUUUACUCUGUUAUUGUUGACUCUUAGGAAAAUUCUUGCUGCAAGAAACGUGUGUGUAUGUGUACGCGUACGCGUGUGUUCUACAAAAUUCUGUGAGCCAAAUACAUGUUUGUGUUCUGCUUUUUCUUUAGGUCUUGGUUCCCCCCCGCUCUCUCCCAGCUCGUUUCAAGGUCGUUGUUAAAAAUCUCUCCUGUCUGUGUUUAAAGAGACCAGCCGGAGGGAAUUCUAAAGGCCUGCGGUGCCAGUAUCACAGAUACUGCGUGGAUUUAGAACAGACUGUGCUACAACUACAACGCGGUUCACGCAGCACAGCCCUCUUAGUUUUAGAGCUGAGUUAGGAGGAGGAGGAAAAGGGGGGAAAUCUUUCUUUCUUCCUUCCUUUCUUUUUAAAGGCAAAUGCAGUGCAGAAUCAUUUCACUGUGGGCCUUGGUUUGUUUAUUCAGAACUGCCAGUUUCCCUAUUUAAAUGUUGGUUGGGGUUUUUUUCCCCUCCUACUCAUCCCUGAAUGAGGGAGCCUCUUGUUUCUUUUAUGUCUCUCUCUUAAAAGAGGGUGUGAGGGGAAAAUAAUAUUUCAGAUUCCUCAAGUAUUAACCCAAAAUGUUUGGACCAGAAGCAGCUUUCAAAGGUCAGGCUGUUCUGAGCCUUGGCUAUGAAAGUCCUUCAGGCGGACUCAUUAAAUUACAGAGGAGUUCUUAAAGGUUCCACAAAAUUUCUGCACAUGUUAAUUUCCAAUAAAGAUAUCUCCCCAAAUAAUCUACCUCUCCAAAUUUGGGUUUAUAGUGGAGAAGUGAGCAGAGAGAUUACUGGCUAUUUCCUGGGAUAUUUGGGGAUCUCUUUCCCAGAAGUCUAUAAGAAGUUCAGAUCUGUUGCUGAAAAUGUCAGUGCAGCCCCCCUUUUGAAAAGGCCGUGUUGGAGUUUUUAGAACCAGGAGAGAUCCAAAGGGGUCGAUUGUUUUCCACAAGGGCUGGAGCUUAGGAAAAAUGCCUGAAGUGUGUCUGCCCCUUUGAAAUCUGAAUAUUUUAAUACUUAUUGACAGAUGGAUUACUGCAGCUUCUGCAGAAAAGCCUGUCUUGUGAAGGUUUUUUGAAAAAUAUACAUAGGCCUAAUCCUGUCACCCUUGUGGAAAUGAACAUUUUACCCCCGAAGACGCAUGUUAUCAUUAAGUGCAGAUUCAUUUUGCCAGAAGGCAGACUGUUUCUUAAAUUGUCCCCUUCCUCCUGAGUUCGAAAGAGUUUUAAAGGAAUCCCACCGGAUUCUAAAUGACACCCGAUUUUGCUGAAGUGAUCGUCUUUGUGUAUUUCUAUGGGUGAUAAUUUUUGUAUUUUUUAUUAAUAUGUUCUCAGGUGUAUCUGUGUGGUUUGGAAUGUGAAUUGUGUGGUUCUCCCCUGCUACUGAUUCUGCAGUGUGAUAACUUUUGUGAUGUGGGGUUCCUUUUCUUGUCAAAGUUGCCAUCCAGCCUCAGUGGGUCCUCCCCACCACCACUUUAAACACACUGCUUGUCUCUCUCGCGUUCUCUUUGCCACUCCAAUCUUAGCCCCAUGGGGGCGCUGCAGAGCAAAGGGAAAUCUGCUCUCUAGCAGUAGAACCAACCAGAGUGGGGGCUGGGAGUGAAUUCACCCUUCUAGUUCCUCAGCCCUCUAAUUCUCUUCGAGAAGUCUGUAAAGGAAGACCCCACUAGGCCUGGUUUAUAGCUAAUUAAUCCCAUCACCAGGGUCCUCAGACCGUUUCUGGGGCCAAGUGCCAGAGUCCCACAUUUCUAAUACUACCCCCCCCAAACUGAAAGAAAUUAACCAGGAGAUGUUAAAAGAAAAAAAAAUUAUUGAAAAUAUUUUAAAGGUAAGGAUUUACAUUUUUGUAGGUCCCCUUCUCUUUUCCAAAUGAGUGGUGAGGAAAAUUGUGCACCCACCUCUCAAUCUCUUUUCAAUUACUAGGAAAGUAACUUUAUCAGAUGUUUUAUACCCAUUGAAUUUCUUCCAUAAUGUCCUGCCUUCUCUCAUUUCUUGAUUUCUCCCCAUUAGUAACCAGUUGGCAUCACUCUGUGAACCUCCCUCACCCCAGCAGUGAUAAGAUUAAAGGAAGGAUUGACUUGAAUAUAUUCAAAUUCUUUCAAAUCAUCCAUAAGAAGACCUGAAGAGAGAUUUCAUGUCUGGGGUCUUAUGUGUGAUUCUUGUGAACUUGGUGGGUUAUGUAUCAAACCAGUCCUAUGAUUUAAUGGCUUCUGGCUAUUAAUACUCAAAGUAGAGGAUCAAGUUAGCCCGUUUGCCUGGUGGUUUGGGCAUGGUAAUAGGUUCUUAAUCACAGGUUCUGGAUAAAUAUAAGCUUUGUUGCAAAAUAAAAUAGCUUGGUCUUAAUAUUACAUCUGUUUAAGGAAAGGAACAGAUUUUGCAUCCAGUUCCCUCACAAAUUUCCCCACAAUACAGUCACAGCUGUAAAGGAGCUAUCCUUGGAGUAAACACUGUCUUGUCCUCCUUCUAAGGGGACUCCCAAGAGAAAGUUGGUUUCACCUGUCAGGAAUUUCUGGCACCUUGGUAGAUCUUGAAACUGUCACAUAAAAGAAUUAUAGAUUUUAGGACUGGAAGGAACUUUGCAGAUCAAUCAACUCCUCGAGGCUUCCUUCUUUCAAGAGGACAGGAGGGCCAUCACUGGAGGCAUGAGGAACCCCGAGACACAACUGAAAACAGGUCUUUGUGGUUCUAUGGUCCUGUGUUAGAGAAUCAGGAAGAUCUGACUACCUGGGCUUUGAGCCUCCACCCGCAGAACCCUUUGAGCUGCCUGAAAUCCGAGUCAUUAAACUGUUCCCUGAGGUCAGACCACAGAUGCCCGAUGCAUGUUUCCUCCAUGUCAACGUCUAUGUAACACAUGUACAUACAGAGACACACGCAAAAAACUGUGUAACUCUGCGGGGGCACAGUGUGAGGUAGGAGAAGAAACAAAACAAAACUGGAUUUGCUGCCAGAAGACCUUGGUUUCUAAUUACAGUUCUGCCAGGAACUCCUUAUCUGAUGUGGAACAAAACCACUUGUCAGGACUCAGCCUCCUUAACUGUGUGAAGGUAUAACCCCAGUGUCUGCAGAAUGUCUAUCAGUUCUAAAUUUGAUACCUUUAUGUCUAAAUAUAUAUAUAUAUAUCUGUAACUUUAAGAUGGAGAGGGGAAUGGAAAGAAGCUAAGUAUAUAUGUGUCCCUGAGGUGGGAGAAAGAGUUAAAAUGUAAACUUCUAAGUAAAGAAGGCAGUCCCAGAAUCCUCACCCUAUCAAUUUUUAACCAAUUGUAGACCAAAGUCUGAGAUUAUGCUGAAUAGGUCCAAAAGCCAAUUGAAGAUUUCAAAUGUUAAGAGCUGGAAGUGCCAGUUCUAAGACCUUGUACCUUUGAUCUCCUGCAUUCCUAAUCAGAUGUGACAGUUCCCAAGUGUCUUUUCUGCACCACAGUUCUGUCCCGCCCCACCACUUCUGUUUGUUUUUGGAAUCGGUCCUAGUCAGUGACAGGAAGGAGUUGACACUUAUAAACCAUGCACACUCUAAUAAGCCACUGGGUCCCAUGUGGAUGUAAAAAAUAUGUCAUAAUAUUCAUACAGAAGGAGAAGAAAAAAAAAAAACCUAGAUAGAAAUUCCUGGUAAGAAACUGAGAGGUAGCUCAGCCAUCACUGCAUUAAAAAUAAUUAUUUGAAGUCAGAGGAAAUAACAGAUGAGGAGUUUGACCUUAC
Molecule: long non-coding RNA, 4131 nt
Organism: Capra hircus (goat)
Lineage: Eukaryota; Metazoa; Chordata; Mammalia; Artiodactyla; Bovidae
Exons: 2
Source: RefSeq, a predicted model, not a curated record